GUUAUCUGGACGCUGCUGUUAUUGUUUCUGAAUCCCGGAACUGGGGCCUGACUCCCUAGAGAGACUGAGGGUGCCGAGAUGAGUUUCCAGUGCUGACCAGUGCAGCUGUAUUUUGCUAAAAGGUGUUUGGGGUGUUUUUUUUUUCUAACCUUUCCCCCGUUUUCUCUUCUCACCUUUUUAUUUUUACCCAUUUUUCGUCUUGCUGUUUUUUCAGUUAGAAGUGGGUGCUGUCAGUGGUGAAAUAAAAUUAGGACCGAAGCCUUUCCAGUUGGUGCUUACUCAGUCCGUGCUGACCCAUGGUCAGGGCUUGGAGCAGAGCUGUAAGGGAGGGCGGAGUCCUCCAGUAGAGGUGAGGCAAGAGCUGCAUUCUGGCAGGGUUUCCAGCCUGGCAGACGACGUGCUCUGUAAUGCUUUUCUGAAUUGCCUUAGCCAGAAGGAAUAGGGAACUGCAUAUUUCGUUUACUAGAUUUGAGGAUGUCUGCUAUGUGCCACGCUGUCUGGCAUUGGGAGCGAUUUAUGAUUUGCUUCUCUAUCAUUUACUUACUGUUUUUGCUCAGCAGUAAGAAUUGAGGACUUCCUGUGAACAUCUAGCAUGCAAACCUAUGCAAAACAGUAUUUGGGAUCCAUAGGUAAGGUCUUCUCCAAAUCCUUAAAGAUUGUCUUGUAUGAAUUCUGUUAUAGGUCAUUGCGGAGUGGAUCAAAGCAGAAAUAAGCCUCUCGGGCCAGCCCAAGACUUCACUGAAAGCAGUAACAUACCUAAAGCAGGAAUGCCUCAAUCAGGAAUUUAGCCAAGAAACAAACAAACAAAAAAAGCCUGGGAAGUAAAUAAUUUGGCAAGAUCCCUGUCUAAAGGGAAAGUCUCCUGAGCAGGUACAAAACCUAUCUUGUUCUAAUAGUGGAGGUAGUUUGGUCUAUCAAAGUUUUAUGUGAUUCUAUUAAGUCAUACAACUAAACCUAUUAUUCCUUUACUUUUCUCAAUAAGUGCAGUUCUGAAUAUUAUUUUAAUUUCCAUAUGGUUUUUCUACAAUGAGAGAACGGCUUGGCCAAAUGAAAUAAAUAGCCAUUUCCUAUGACAAUUACAUUUUUCACUGUAAAUUAAUACAUUGGUAUUUUUAUUUUUAUUUUUUUAAAAAAAUUUUUUUUUUCAACGUUUUUUAUUUAUUUUUGGGACAGAGAGAGACAGAGCAUGAACGGGGGAGGGGCAGAGAGAGAGGGAGACACAGAAUCGGAAACAGGCUCCAGGCUCUGAGCCAUCAGCCCAGAGCCAGACGCGGGGCUCGAACUCACGGACCGCGAGAUCGUGAUCUGGCUGAAGUCGGACGCUUAACCGACUGCGCCACCCAGGCGCCCCUAUUUUUAUUUUUAUACACAAGCUUCUAAUGAACAUGAUUCAGCAUGUCUGGUCCAGUAAUGCAAAGGCCGGACCCUAAACUAAGUGAAUUCACAAAAGAUAAAUACUGCUCUGAGGCCUUUUGGCCAGCAUGUUUUCUAACUCCCCAAUUUUGCAACACCUUCCAACCUCUUUUGCACUGAAAGGAAUUUCUGCAUACAGUCAAGGAUUAAAACAUGGUGAAGAGGGGCACUUGGGUGGCUCAGUCGGUUGAGCGUCCGACUUCAGCUCAGGUCAUGAUCUCAUAGUCCAUGAGUUCGAGCCCCACGUUGGCCUCUGUGCUGACAGCUCAGAGCCUGGAGCCUGUUUCAGAUUCUGUGUCUCCCUCUCUCUGCCCCUUCCCUGCUCAUGCUCUGUCUCUCUCUGUCUCUCAAAAAUGAAUAAACAUUAAAAAAAAAUUUAAAAAGAAAAAACAUGGUGAAAAUUUGGGGACUUUUGUAACUUAUUUCUAAUUAUUAGUAAAACCCUUAAAGAAGAUUCUGCACUUUAUUUCAGUAAAGCAAAGAGGGCAGAACAAGGGCAUUCCACUCUUAGGAAAAGAACCUCAGGGAUGGGGGCUUUUCUUUCUAUUCUGCCCCUGAAGAAAAGGAAAGCACCUGAAGCUGGCCUGGUUCUGAAGAAUAAUAUUAAGCCUUAAGAUGACUUCCCAACAGUUAACAAGAACAGUAUUUUAAAAAAAGGAAAAACCUAAGAAGAAAAUCUUGGGGAUGUCUGUAUCAUCAAGGAAGAAAAAAGCUUUAAGAAAGCAUUAAUAAAUAAGGCCCAAUGAUGCAGAAUCAUGAGAAGGGUUUAAGAAAAGGCCUCUCGAUUUGUUAACUAGAAUAAUAUUAGUUAUUUUGUUUGACUGCUUUUUAUUUAAAAAAUUUUUCUUUUUUU
RNAcentral lists this long non-coding RNA (2266 nucleotides) under Lynx pardinus (Iberian lynx). Lineage: Eukaryota; Metazoa; Chordata; Mammalia; Carnivora; Felidae. The record is from RNAcentral.